RNAcentral lists this ribosomal RNA (1346 nucleotides) under uncultured bacterium. RNAcentral's name for it is "partial 16S ribosomal RNA". It matches the Rfam family "Bacterial small subunit ribosomal RNA", at positions 28 to 1381 of the family's 1533-position model. The record is from RNAcentral.
GACGAACGCUGGCGGCGUGCUUAACACAUGCAAGUCGAACGGAAAGGCCCUGCUUUUGUGGGGUGCUCGAGUGGCGAACGGGUGAGUAACACGUGAGUAACCUGCCCUUGACUUUGGGAUAACUUCAGGAAACUGGGGCUAAUACCGGAUAGGAGCUCCUGCUGCAUGGUGGGGGUUGGAAAGUUUCGGCGGUUGGGGAUGGACUCGCGGCUUAUCAGCUUGUUGGUGGGGUAGUGGCUUACCAAGGCUUUGACGGGUAGCCGGCCUGAGAGGGUGACCGGCCACAUUGGGACUGAGAUACGGCCCAGACUCCUACGGGAGGCAGCAGUGGGGAAUAUUGCACAAUGGGCGGAAGCCUGAUGCAGCAACGCCGCGUGCGGGAUGACGGCCUUCGGGUUGUAAACCGCUUUCGCCUGUGACGAAGCGUGAGUGACGGUAAUGGGUAAAGAAGCACCGGCUAACUACGUGCCAGCAGCCGCGGUGAUACGUAGGGUGCGAGCGUUGUCCGGAUUUAUUGGGCGUAAAGGGCUCGUAGGUGGUUGAUCGCGUCGGAAGUGUAAUCUUGGGGCUUAACCCUGAGCGUGCUUUCGAUACGGGUUGACUUGAGGAAGGUAGGGGAGAAUGGAAUUCCUGGUGGAGCGGUGGAAUGCGCAGAUAUCAGGAGGAACACCAGUGGCGAAGGCGGUUCUCUGGGCCUUUCCUGACGCUGAGGAGCGAAAGCGUGGGGAGCGAACAGGCUUAGAUACCCUGGUAGUCCACGCUGUAAACGGUGGGUACUAGGUGUGGGGUCCAUUCCACGGGUUCCGUGCCGUAGCUAACGCUUUAGGUACCCCGCCUGGGGAGUACGGCCGCAAGGCUAAAACUCAAAGGAAUUGACGGGGCCCCGCACAAGCGGCGGAGCAUGCGGAUUAAUUCGAUGCAACGCGUAGAACCUUACCUGGGUUUGACAUGGAUCGGGAGUGCUCAGAGAUGGGUGUGCCUCUUUUGGGGUCGGUUCACAGGUGGUGCAUGGCUGUCGUCAGCUCGUGUCGUGAGAUGUUGGGUUAAGUCCCGCAACGAGCGCAACCCUUGUUCACUGUUGCCAGCACGUUAUGGUGGGGACUCAGUGGAGACCGCCGGGGUCAACUCGGAGGAAGGUGGGGAUGACGUCAAGUCAUCAAGCCCCUUAUGUCCAGGGCUUCACGCAUGCUACAAUGGCUGGUACAGAGAGUGGCGAGCCUGUGAGGGUGAGCGAAUCUCGGAAAGCCGGUCUCAGUUCGGAUUGGGGUCUGCAACUCGACCUCAUGAAGUCGGAGUCGCUAGUAAUCGCAGAUCAGCAACGCUGCGGUGAAUACGUUCCCGGGGCU